AUUGAACGCUGGCGGCAUGCCUUACACAUGCAAGUCGAACGGCAGCACGGGGGCAACCCUGGUGGCGAGUGGCGGACGGGUGAGUAAUGCAUCGGAACGUGCCCUGAAGUGGGGGAUAACGCAGCGAAAGCUACGCUAAUACCGCAUAUUCUGUGAGCAGGAAAGCAGGGGAUCGCAAGACCUUGCGCUUUGGGAGCGGCCGAUGUCGGAUUAGCUAGUUGGUGGGGUAAAGGCCUACCAAGGCGACGAUCCGUAGCGGGUCUGAGAGGAUGAUCCGCCACACUGGGACUGAGACACGGCCCAGACUCCUACGGGAGGCAGCAGUGGGGAAUUUUGGACAAUGGGCGAAAGCCUGAUCCAGCCAUGCCGCGUGAGUGAAGAAGGCCUCGGUUGUAAAGC
Molecule: ribosomal RNA, 399 nt
Filed under: uncultured bacterium
Lineage: Bacteria
Description: bacterial SSU rRNA
Rfam family: Bacterial small subunit ribosomal RNA
Source: RNAcentral